Molecule: long non-coding RNA, 1038 nt
Filed under: Felis catus (domestic cat)
Lineage: Eukaryota; Metazoa; Chordata; Mammalia; Carnivora; Felidae
Description: lncRNA (ENSFCAG00000043701.2)
Source: RNAcentral
GGGGUCCGUGGCCCUGGCAUGGACAAUCUCUACUCUGGAGACGCUAUCAGAAAACAUAAAGGAUUAGAGUCAGAAGAGAUGUUAAGAGUUAUCUAAGUUUACCCAAAGCAACCAUCUCCCCUGUAGCCUUUUGGAAAGUGACUGAAAGGAUCUGUAAGGAAGAGAUUUACCUAGCAUUUUUGAAAGUUAUGUGGUAGCUAUGGGAGGAUUCAAGUAGCAGCUCAAGCUCUGAUGAGAAAGAUGAAGAAGUUGCUUCUUUACCUUUUAAUCACAAUUAUAAAACAUUAACUGACAACCUAUACAUAUCCAGAUGAUAGAUCUGGCAAAGCUACUAGCACACUGUGUAGAAUAGCUGGUGUACAGAAUGUUUUUCUUCUAAAACAAAGUAUUCUUGCAGUGUUUCAUGUUCAAGAAUAUAUUCAUCAAACUCCAAGAGUUUUGGCCAGACUUCAGAUAACAGCCAAUGAGUCACUUUAAAAGAUGUCAAUGGAAAGUCCCAGGAGACCAUCUUAGGUAAUCUCUUCAUGUCAGAAAAUACAUUGAGUUAUCCACUUCCCACAAAGAUUUGAAAAGGCAAGAUGUUGACCGGUACAUCAAAAAAGCUUGUGCUGUUGCUCCUGGACAUCUUACAAGGCUGGUCUUCAGACUCACUUUCUCCAACUUGCCUGUUUCCCUUAACUAAGGUAAUGAAUUUUGCUGUAGAAUGUUACAAGAAAGAAGGCCAAUGCAAAACAAAAAUAUAGACCACUUAGAGAUUAUUGACAAUUUCACAAAGGUGGCAGCAGAACGUUAAACCAAGUGCUGUGUCCUUCUAAGCAUGGCGUCUGCGGAAGGAGAAUACCAGUUCCCGUGAAACUGGCUCCUGGUUCUUAGGCUCCAGAACGUCCUUCUCACUUGGUGCAUCCUUACCCUGAGUAUAUCUUUCAUUCUCACACUCUGAUUCUCUAUUUUUCUUCCCCAUAAUGUAGCCCUAGAGGCUUGAAACUUCAGAGAAACUUACAUGCCCUCCAUUUGUUCAAAAGGAAGCUCAAAAACAGC